Sinocyclocheilus anshuiensis is the source of this 767-nucleotide long non-coding RNA. RefSeq lists it as uncharacterized. Lineage: Eukaryota; Metazoa; Chordata; Actinopteri; Cypriniformes; Cyprinidae. The record is from RefSeq and is a predicted model, not a curated record. The transcript has 4 exons.
UGCGUUCAACGCCGCAUGGAAAACACCUGCAAACAAGAGACUUGUUUGUUGCCCACUCAAAUGACCUAAACGGUUUCUCGGUUAAAUGGUUGCGCUUAAAAUAUUACGUGAAACAUUUAUGAUACAACAUGACAAGGACACAAAGUUGAACUCAAUGUAACAAGCCAACUAACAAAGUGCCUAAGAAAGGUGAAUAGCCAGAACAUACUGCGCGCUCUUGAAUGUCUGGUACUUGUGUUUGCGUCAGACUACACAACAAAUCCAAGGUGGAUGCAACAGUAGAAAUUAGAUAACCAGCAGACUUUCCUGGCGCGGCGCGACGCAUGAGUCCAGCAGACCCAUAGGCAUGAUGAAUCAUCUCUCUGAUCUAUAACCUCUUGACUCCUGCAGUCUGGAUCAUGGCAGAAAAUUAAGCCAAGAAACAGCAGAGGUGAAGAGUUUUACUGCGGUAACUGCCACUGGCUGACAGCGAGGACUAAGACAGUCUGAUCAAACUCAGACUCGGAGAUAUUCCAGAGAGAGGGAGCGCACGGAGGGACUCUUUGAUAUCAGAGCUGGAUAUAUCUCUCUCAAGGAUAAUCACAUUGAUUAACUGCCUGGCUGAUGGGUAAAGAGUGGAGUGGAUCUGUGUCGAUGGAGAGAGAGAAAGCGAGAGGAUUGGCUUUAUUGAUUCAUCAGCGGUCACAUUUAGCAGUUCAGUAACCUGUUAAUUCACACCGUCUGCAACCAUCCUAGAGAACUAAUUAUCACCAUGUGUGUGUGCUUUC